UAUAUUAUAGUAUAAGAUGUACAUAGAUUUUUGAUAUUUAAGGAAAUAGUUUAAUUCUAUUUGAUAUAG
RNAcentral lists this transfer RNA (69 nucleotides) under Helota thoracica. RNAcentral's name for it is "tRNA-Gln". Lineage: Eukaryota; Metazoa; Arthropoda; Insecta; Coleoptera; Helotidae. The record is from RNAcentral.